Molecule: ribosomal RNA, 332 nt
Filed under: uncultured bacterium
Lineage: Bacteria
Description: partial 16S ribosomal RNA
Rfam family: Bacterial small subunit ribosomal RNA
Source: RNAcentral
CCUACGGGAGGCUGCAGUGAGGAAUAUUGGUCAAUGGCCGGAAGGCUGAACCAGCCAAGCCGCGUGAAGGACGAAGGUGCUAAGCAUUGUAAACUUCUUUUGUCAAGGGACAAAAUUAGGCUCGAGAGCCUGACCGAGGGUACUUGAAGAAAAAGCAUCGGCUAACUCCGUGCCAGCAGCCGCGGUAAUACGGAGGAUGCGAGCGUUAUCCGGAUUUAUUGGGUUUAAAGGGUGCGUAGGCGGACUGUUAAGUCAGCGGUAAAAGGCCGGGGCUAAACCCCGGCGAGCCGUGGAAACUGGCUGUCUUGAGAUGACGAGAGGUAUGCGGAAUG